GCCAGGCUCGGUGGCGCACGCCUGUAAUCCUAGCUAUUUAGGAGGCUGAGGCAGGAGGAUCGCUGAUUCGAGGUCAGCCUCAGCAAUUUACCGACACCUUGUCCCAA
This 107-nucleotide small RNA is filed under the name Marmota monax (woodchuck). Lineage: Eukaryota; Metazoa; Chordata; Mammalia; Rodentia; Sciuridae. The record is from RNAcentral.